UUCCCCAAACCCUUUAGCUUCUCAGUUCUUACUCCAGCCCUCCGCUGUUAGGGCAUCAGGUCCCCAUUCACUUCUCCACAAAUUUGGGGUGAAAAGCGGGCCGUAUCUUCCUCCACCUCGUCCCUCAGUCAAAAACUGUGGAGGUUGGUGCUUAGAAGUCAAAGAAUCCAGUGUCCACUUCGGGGAGGGGCCCCCCGCGUGACAGAGCAUGGACUAGUACUCAGGAAGCUUGACUUUCACCUUCCCAUACGUCCUGCUGCCCCUUGGCCAAAUCAGCUCUGCCUGAUUUGGGCCGCAGUCUCGUUAGGACCCCCUCGCAUCUCAUUGGGGGUAAUGGAGGGGCGACUUGGCGUCCCUUCAGCCCAGGGAAUGGACAUCUGGCUGGGUUGGUCCCAUGCCAGGCCGGCCAUUUGCUUGCAAAACAAACACUAUAAUCCUGCGGCUGAGCACGCAAAUCUUGGUGCCUGCCUCCUCCCAGGACUCCUGGACUCCAAGACCUCUGACUUCAGCCUGGAGUUGAGCGAAGACAUGGCUUACUUUCCUUCAAAUCAUUCCUGGGCUGCAGACGAGAUGAUGGAUCUUUGAAUCAAUAAAUCCCAAUUGAUGGAGAAGACCAGAAGGAUGUCAAGGAACCAGGCUGGAAGCACUGGGAGGAGCCAUCUGGGUGGAAGGAAGAGGAAGUGCAAAGAGUCUGCAGAAGAGGGUUUGAAGCACUUAGGGAACAUGAAGUUGGCAAAUGAGGCAGGAAGACAUUGACCCGUGUUGGUGGAAUGAGAUGGGACAGAGUCGCAGGAAGAGAGUCCCAUUUCCACAAAUCAGCAGAAGAGGGAGGGGAAAUCCCAUAUAUAGCACUUUAAAAAUUAAUGGCUCUAUUAGAAAAUUAUCUUCUUAAUUUUUUUUUAAAUCUUUAUUUUAUUAUUAUUUGUUUAUCUUUAUGUGGUGCUGAGGAUCAAACCCAGUGCCUCGUGCAUGCUAGGCAAGCACCCUGCCACUGAGCUAUGCCCAAGCCCCAGAAAAUUACCUUUUGCAAGGUAUUGAUGAACCAACUAAAAAGUAAAAGGAAUAUGGACUCCAAGUAUAGCUCUGGGUAGCUUACCUAGCACCCGAAAGGCCCUGGGUAACAUCCCCAGCACCACAGAAAACAAGAAAAACGCUCUGGAUAUUUAAUGGAAUAUCCCAUUAAACAAGAAUGCUGGGCAUCCCAGAGACUCAGGAGGCUGAGGCAAGAGAGGUUUGAGGUCAGCCUCAGGAACUUAGUGAGACCCUGUCUCAAAAUAAAAUAAAGCCAGAGCCGGGCACAAUGGCGCACACUUGUAAUCCCAGUGGCUCAUGAGGCUGAGACAGGAGGAUCCCGAGUUCAAAGCCAGCCUCAGCAAAAGUGAGGCACCAACUAACUCAGUGAGACCCUGUCUCUAAAUGAAAUACAAAAUAGAGCUGGGGAUGUGGCUCAGUGGUCGAAUGCCCCUGAGUUCAAUACCCGUACCCACACUCCAAAAAAAAUAAUAAUAAUAAUAAAAAAGCCAAGUGUGGUGGCACAAGCCUGUAAUCCCCACAGCUCAGGGAGAAUUACUAGUUCAAAGCCAGCCUCAGCAACUUAGCAAGGCCUUAAGUAACUCAGUGAGACCCUAUCUCUAAUUAAAAUACAAAAAAGGGCUGGGGAUGUGGCUCAGUGAUUAAGCACCCCUGGAUUCACUCCCCAGUAUCAAAAAAAUAAAAGGGGUUGGGGAUGUAGCUCAGGGGCAAAGUGCCCCUGGGUUUAAUCCCCAGUACCAAACAAACAA
Long non-coding RNA from Marmota monax (woodchuck), 1781 nucleotides. RefSeq lists it as uncharacterized. The transcript is spliced from 3 exons. The record is from RefSeq and is a predicted model, not a curated record. NCBI's taxonomy places the organism in Eukaryota, Metazoa, Chordata, Mammalia, Rodentia, Sciuridae.